GUGCACCAGUCGCGAAAACUCCACAAUGUGGGAAACCACGAUGGGGGAACUCCCAGUGCGCACACUUUGUGUGCGCUGUUCUCCUGCCUACAAAGCAGGAGCAGUAAGGGCCGGGUAAGACGGGUGCCAGCCGCCGCGGUAAUACCCGCGGCCCGAGUGGUGCUCAUUAUUAUUGAGUCUACAACGUCCGUAGCCGGUCGGGUAGAUUCCUGGGUAAAUCGAACCGCUCAACGGCUCGAAUUCCGGGGAGACCGCCCGACUAGGGACCGGGAGAGGCGUGAGGUACUCCUGAGGUAGGGGUAAAAUCCUGUAAUCCUGGGAGGACCACCAGUGGCGAAGGCGUCACGCUAGAACGGAUCCGAUGGUCAGGGACGAAGCCCAGGGGCGCAAACGGGAUUAGAUAUGAAGUUGAGUUGUUACUAGCUUCACUAGAAACCCCGGUAGUC
Molecule: ribosomal RNA, 446 nt
Filed under: uncultured Thermoplasmata archaeon
Lineage: Archaea; Methanobacteriati; Thermoplasmatota; Thermoplasmata
Description: partial 16S ribosomal RNA
Rfam family: Archaeal small subunit ribosomal RNA
Source: RNAcentral